GUAGGGUGCAAGCGUUAAUCGGAAUUACUGGGCGUAAAGCGUGCGCAGGCGGUUUUGUAAGUCUGAUGUGAAAUCCCCGGGCUCAACCUGGGAAUUGCAUUGGAGACUGCAAGGCUAGAAUCUGGCAGAGGGGGGUAGAAUUCCACGUGUAGCAGUGAAAUGCGUAGAUAUGUGGAGGAACACCGAUGGCGAAGGCAGCCCCCUGGGUCAAGAUUGACGCUCAUGCACGAAAGCGUGGGGAGCAAACAGGAUUAGAUACCCUGGUAGUCCACGCCCCUAAACGAUGUCUACUAGUUGUCGGGUCUUAAUUGACUUGGUAACGCAGCUAACGCGUGAAGUAGACCGCCUGGGAGUACGGUCGCAAGAUUA
RNAcentral lists this ribosomal RNA (369 nucleotides) under uncultured organism. RNAcentral describes it as "partial 16S ribosomal RNA". It matches the Rfam family "Bacterial small subunit ribosomal RNA", at positions 527 to 896 of the family's 1533-position model. The record is from RNAcentral.